RNAcentral lists this ribosomal RNA (442 nucleotides) under uncultured bacterium. Its description in RNAcentral is "partial 16S ribosomal RNA". It matches the Rfam family "Bacterial small subunit ribosomal RNA", at positions 355 to 785 of the family's 1533-position model. The record is from RNAcentral.
UAGGGAAUCUUCGGCAAUGGGGGCAACCCUGACCGAGCAACGCCGCGUGAGUGAAGAAGGUUUUCGGAUCGUAAAGCUCUGUUAUAAGUCAAGAACGGGUGUGAGAGUGGAAAGUUCACACUGUGACGGUAGCUUACCAGAAAGGGACGGCUAACUACGUGCCAGCAGCCGCGGUAAUACGUAGNUCCCAGAGCGUUGUCCGGAUUUAUUGGGCGUAAAGCGAGCGCAGGCGGUUUGAUAAGUCCGAAGUUAAAGGCUGUGGCUCAACCAUAGUUCGCUUUGGAAACUGUCAAACUUGAGUGCAGAAGGGGAGAGUGGAAUUCCAUGUGUAGCGGUGAAAUGCGUAGAUAUAUGGAGGAACACCGGUGGCGAAAAGCGGCUCUCUGGUCUGUAACUGACGCUGAGGCUCGAAAGGCGUGGGGAGCGAACAGGAUUACGAUAC